Pseudopipra pipra is the source of this 355-nucleotide long non-coding RNA. RefSeq lists it as uncharacterized. The transcript has 3 exons. The record is from RefSeq and is a predicted model, not a curated record. Lineage: Eukaryota; Metazoa; Chordata; Aves; Passeriformes; Pipridae.
AAGGAAAGAGGCAUUCAGCAAGGCUGUCCUUGCUUUCCACAAAUCUCACAGCAACUUGCCAUGAAAUUGUUCGGAAGAGGGGCCUGAGAGCUGAUCCACGGAGGCUUGAGAAGCAGCUUGUCUGUUGUUGCAGACUGAGCCCUCUGCUUUUGGGAACUUACCAGGAUGCUGAUAAAUGGCUGUCACCCCUUAUUGGACAUGAAUUCAUUGUACCUGUGUAAAUAAGGAUUUAAAAAUUGAAAAAAAAAUGUUUUGGUUCCUACAACAGAAUCACAGAACAGAAGAACAUUUACAGAACCACAGAAUAGCUCAGGUUGGAAGGCACUUCUGGAGAUCGUUCAGUCCACCCCGUCUG